GAUUUCUGCCAGGACACCUGCGAACAGAUACCAGCUGCCUGGAGUCUGUCAGUUGCUGAGGAGGCAUAGGAAGAAACUAGUUCACCCAUGUCUCUCUUACACACAGGUUAAAAUCAACCUGUCAAAUCUCAUGAAAAACCUGGUGAAGUUUUGUUGGAAUUGUAUUAUACUGGAUGAUCAAUUUGGAGAGAUUUGACAGCUCCAGAAUAUGAAGAAUUUCUGGCUACAAAUAUGAUCCUGAAUUCCAGUGGAAUGGCUGAUACCAAGCAGCAUGAAGACCCCCCCAGAGGAGCACUAUCAGCAUGAAGACCCCUGCAGAGGAGCCUAAUCAGGAUGAGAAUGAGGCUUUGUAUGUGUACCAUCAAUCAAUAAUUGGAGGCUGACUGCCCUGGAAAAGCUGGGACUUGCACUGAAAAUUGGGGCCUGAUUCAUAUGCAGGAGAUGGGAUACAGAAGCUGAAGUUCAUGCGUAGGAGCCUAUAUAUCCUUCUCAGAAAGAAGGUGGGACAUCACAGAACUUUUUCACGAAAGUUGUUCUUUGCCUAUUCUAACUACUGAACAGAACCAUCAGUGAAGACUCCAUAGAACAUGAAUAUAAUGAUUAUGGCAUAGGAAAUUUUAAGUAGUUAUUUUCAUGUGCCGGACACCACAGGAAGAUCUCAAUGAUGCUUCUACUGACAGUCUAAUUUUGAAGGACACCAUGUCACUUCCUGCUGGAAUGAACUCAUGGCUGACCAUGAGCAUCUCUAGGUAACUAAACAAGCCUGCAUUUUGGAGCUAGUGAACAUAGACCCAUGGAAUUUGGAAGACAGCUGUGAAAAUGCUGCCUUGGCCUUAGAAUUGCUGGUUUUGAUAUUUUUUUAAGGCACAUGUUAGGGUGCAGGUUUUUCUACUUAAUGACAACAAGAACAUAUUUUCAACAUGCAAACACCCAGGUUUCUGUGGCAGGGACAUCAUGAUAACGUUCCAGAUAUUAAGAUAUUUGUUAUGAAAGAAGAGCAGGAUCCCGGCCCUGCUUUCUUCAUCCCAGGUGUGAGGGGGCCAUCAGCUGCUUUGUAGCCUCCAUUCCAGGAUGCAGGCUGCCCUUAACUCUUGGGUCUCCAUGCUUACAGAGGCAGCAAUAACUAGGUGCCUCUUGUAACACUGUUUGGUUUAACCUGGACACAGAGACAAAAGACAAGAAAGGAUCGAUUGCAGCUACACAAAGUGUUUCUUUAGUUGUAACAAACUUUUCAGUAGGAUGUUAGGAAACUUGGGUGGGGCUCUCUCCCAGCACACUGGGAAGCCUUGGAGGGUUUCAAAUGGGAAAACAGUAGGACUCUUGUUUUUCAAAAAGCGUUCUUGCUGCUAGGUGAAGAAUGAAUAUGGUGGGGGCAAGGUCUCUAAUACUACGUAAGAGUGGCUUCCAGGUCCCAGAAUGAGAAGUAUCUAGGGUUUUUAUAAAAUUUGAGGCUGCUUUAUUAAGACAGAGCUGGAAGAAAUGUCUCAGGGGGUCACUAGGGGUAAAGGAAUGUAUCAGAGUCAUAGUAUUCACAACUUUUUUUUUUUUUUUGAUGGAGUCUCGCUGUCGCCCAGGCUGGAGUGCAAUGCUGCAG
Long non-coding RNA from Homo sapiens (human), 1594 nucleotides. RefSeq annotates it as wound and keratinocyte migration associated lncRNA 1. NCBI's taxonomy places the organism in Eukaryota, Metazoa, Chordata, Mammalia, Primates, Hominidae. The transcript is spliced from 3 exons. The record is from RefSeq and is a predicted model, not a curated record.